Molecule: transfer RNA, 69 nt
Filed under: Ladislavia taczanowskii (Tachanovsky's gudgeon)
Lineage: Eukaryota; Metazoa; Chordata; Actinopteri; Cypriniformes; Gobionidae
Description: tRNA-Cys
Rfam family: tRNA
About the family: Transfer RNA (tRNA) molecules are approximately 80 nucleotides in length. Their secondary structure includes four short double-helical elements and three loops (D, anti-codon, and T loops). Further hydrogen bonds mediate the characteristic L-shaped molecular structure. tRNAs have two regions of fundamental functional importance: the anti-codon, which is responsible for specific mRNA codon recognition, and the 3' end, to which the tRNAs corresponding amino acid is attached (by aminoacyl-tRNA synthetases). tRNAs cope with the degeneracy of the genetic code in two manners: having more than one tRNA (with a specific anti-codon) for a particular amino acid; and 'wobble' base-pairing, i.e. permitting non-standard base-pairing at the 3rd anti-codon position.
Source: RNAcentral
AGCCCCGUGGUGAAGAUCAUGUUGGAUUGCAAAUCCAAAGACGCAGACUAAUUUCCUGCCGGGGCUUUU